CAAUAGCGUAUAUUUAAGUUGCUGCAGUUAAAAAGCUCGUAGUUGGAUUUCGGGUGGGAAUGGCCGGUCCGCCGUUUCGGUGUGCACUUGCUACGCCCACCUUGCUGCCGGGGACGUGCUCUUGAGUUCACGCUCGGGACACGGAGUUGGCGAGGUUACUUUGAGUAAAUUAGAGUGUUCAAAGCAGGCCUACGCUCUGAAUACAUUAGCAUGGAAUAACACGAUAGGACUCUGGCCUAUCUUGUUGGUCUGUAGGACCGGAGUAAUGAUUAAGAGGGACAGUCGGGGGCAUUCGUAUUUCAUUGUCAGAGGUGAAAUUCUUGGAUUUAUGAAAGACGAACUACUGCGAAAGCAUUUGCCAAGGAUGUUUUCAUUAA
Molecule: ribosomal RNA, 377 nt
Filed under: uncultured eukaryote
Lineage: Eukaryota
Description: partial 18S ribosomal RNA
Rfam family: Eukaryotic small subunit ribosomal RNA
Source: RNAcentral